UUUGAUCGACCCCAACCACAACGGACUCUCCGGGGCACGAUCCUGCCCAUAGGUAGCGAUCAACGCCUGCGCCUC
This is a non-coding RNA of Nocardia donostiensis, 75 nucleotides long. NCBI's taxonomy places the organism in Bacteria, Bacillati, Actinomycetota, Actinomycetes, Mycobacteriales, Nocardiaceae. The record is from Rfam.